AACCUUAUGGACCUGCGGGCGUAUACCUGCGGAGGGAUCAUUACUGAGUGAGGGCUCACGCCCGACCUCCAACCCUUUGUGAACCAAACUUGUUGCUUCGGGGGCGACCCUGCCGACGACUCCGUCGCCGGGCGCCCCCGGAGGUCUUCUAAACACUGCAUCUUUGCGUCGGAGUUUAAACAAAUUAAACAAAACUUUUAACAAUGGAUCU
RNAcentral lists this unclassified non-coding RNA (211 nucleotides) under soil metagenome. RNAcentral's name for it is "partial contains 5.8S ribosomal RNA, internal transcribed spacer 2, and large subunit ribosomal RNA". The record is from RNAcentral.